Molecule: ribosomal RNA, 495 nt
Filed under: uncultured bacterium
Lineage: Bacteria
Description: partial 16S ribosomal RNA
Rfam family: Bacterial small subunit ribosomal RNA
Source: RNAcentral
GACGAACGCUGGCGGCGUGCCUAAUACAUGCAAGUAGAACGCUGAAGGAGGAGCUUGCUUCUCUGGAUGAGUUGCGAACGGGUGAGUAACGCGUAGGUAACCUGCCUGGUAGCGGGGGAUAACUAUUGGAAACGAUAGCUAAUACCGCAUAAUAGUAGAUGUUGCAUGACAUUUGCUUAAAAGGUGCAAUUGCAUCCCUACCAGAUGGACCUGCGUUGUAUUAGCUAGUUGGUGGGGUAACGGCUCACCAAGGCGACGAUACAUAGCCGACCUGAGAGGGUGAUCGGCCACACUGGGACUGAGACACGGCCCAGACUCCUACGGGAGGCAGCAGUAGGGAAUCUUCGGCAAUGGACGGAAGUCUGACCGAGCAACGCCGCGUGAGUGAAGAAGGUUUUCGGAUCGUAAAGCUCUGUUGUAAGAGAAGAACGAGUGUGAGAGUGGAAAGUUCACACUGUGACGGUAGCUUACCAGAAAGGGACGGCUAACUACGUG